CAAUGCUCACGUGGAUCUUACCACAUAUGUGCUCUUUCCAUAACAUUUUACAAGAGCAGGAAAUUGAGACAUAGAAAGGUUAAAUACUAUAUCUACAUUACCAUGUAGAUUUGCAAAGGAAGUGUGUUGCCAGAAUGUAAUGAUGGGCUUUGUGAGCCAGGCUGAGGAACUUGACCUUUAUCCUGAAAGUGAUGGGACCCUGAAGCAUUUUAAGCGGGAAGGUGAUCUGAUAUAAGCAGAUUUACCAUUUUAGAAACCUUAGUAUGGUAGAGGUCGAGUAGGAGAAAGAGAACAAUAAUCCAGGUCCUUCUUGCCUCGAACAAAGAAUUGGAUGAGACAAGCCAAAAAUGGUGCCAAAAGUUCAUGUGAAAGUUGAAGGAUGAAGGGGCUCCUAAAGAAAACCCUGAACUGCAAGGAUGGAUCUCCUCCAGUUUCCAUUGCUGGCAACUGACUCUGGGCUCCUGAGGAGCUUCUUAACCUCAGGGUGCCCCAGUUUCUUUAUCUUUAACAGGGACAAGAAUACCUGCCCUACUUGCUUCAUAGAGUUAUUGUGAGACAAAAAUGAAACAACAGGAUGAAUUUCAAAGUGGAAUAAAAUAUAUGGUACAGUAGGACAAUAUUAUAGAAUUCAGUUAAUUUUAAGUAUGAAAAUAUAAAUAUCCCCUUGCACAAGAAGAUAUCUUUUAAAUAUCUGUAUUCUUAUAUUAAAGUAUUCUUGCUUCUUUGUUUUUGCUUACAAAAGGAGAGAGAGAGAAAAAAAGAGAAACUCGUGUUGUAAUUUCUUUUUUGGAUGCCAAGUCAGCUAUGCACAGAUAAUCUUAGGAAAGUAGAAAUUAUUCCCAUUUUACAGAUGUGAAAACUUAGCAAAUGCCACAGGAAGAAUUUGAACUCAACUAUGCUGACUUACAUGUAUUGAGGAACUUCUCAAUUGAGUGAGCUGCCAAAUGGUCACUAUUAUAUUGCUCUCUACUUACAAGUGUGGAGCUGUUGCAGCUCAAGCACUGAUAGUCUUUCAGACCUAUGAUAAGCCCAGAACAUUUAUGCAAGAUGAUGACAGCAGCACUAAGAGUAACUGAGCAGUUUUUGAGAGAAGUCGGCCACCUGUUAGUCCACCAAGUACAAGGCCCAGAAAUUUUUCCCAGGAUGUUGGUGCCAGAUACACGAAAAUUCAACAGUCUCUAGGAUUAGUUGACUGUGACCACUUGUCACAAAAAAACAUUUUUUUGAAACCAUGUCUCUGGCCAGUGAAAAUUACUGGACUUUGUCCCAGCCCAAGAAAUCAAUAAAAACCUACUGCACUCUUUGUUCUGUGAAUGGCAGCUUCAUCAUUGUCUUGACCAAUGUUUGCUCCCUUCAGCCAAAGCCCCAGUUUCUCUGAACCCCUUUAUUCUAUCCACCAGUAAAGCUUAACCUGUACAGGAGUGUAUGUCCUUGAAAUACUUGGCCCACUCUCAUUGCUACUGUCUCUGAGUCAUAAGAUCCCAC
Molecule: long non-coding RNA, 1485 nt
Filed under: Heterocephalus glaber (naked mole-rat)
Lineage: Eukaryota; Metazoa; Chordata; Mammalia; Rodentia; Bathyergidae
Description: lncRNA (ENSHGLG00100044940.1)
Source: RNAcentral